Non-coding RNA from Chelonoidis abingdonii (Abingdon island giant tortoise), 128 nucleotides. Lineage: Eukaryota; Metazoa; Chordata; Testudines; Testudinidae. The record is from RefSeq and is a predicted model, not a curated record.
AAGCUCAUGCUCCAAAACGUCUGUUAGUUCGAUAAGGUGCCACAGGAUUCUUUGCUGCUUUUACAGAUCACACUAACACCGGCUACCCUCUGAUAAUUAUUAGACUCCAAGGAUCAUCACUGCUUUAA